Molecule: non-coding RNA, 772 nt
Filed under: Pan troglodytes (chimpanzee)
Lineage: Eukaryota; Metazoa; Chordata; Mammalia; Primates; Hominidae
Source: RNAcentral
AGAUCAGCCCUGGGGUUCAGAGGGAUCCUGACGGCUACUCCUCAAGAUCCUCUCUGUUGUGAUUCAUCCCCCCCGGGCCCUACAGUUUCUCCUUCCUGACUCUUACAUUUCUUUGGAUGGCAUCAUUAUUUACCUGUCUCCUCCCAUAGUUAGGUGCCAAGCACUGUGGAUUCUGCCCCUCAGUGUCCAGACACCCAUUUUCCUUCCCACUGUUCCUUCCCCAUGGAGAAGCCUGUGGCUGGCUGACAGCAGAGAGAGAUGCUCAACUUGGAGAAGGUGUUACCUGGGCCAGGUGGGGAAGGUUUGUUUGCAGAGCAAAGAAGUGAAGGAAGUAUUAACCCUUUGCAUGGCCUCCUGAGAAUCCGACAAGACCCUAUUCAACGUGAAAAAGAUGAGGAUGAAGACCUUUAUUAUGAUCCACUUCCAAGUAAUGAACACACUGGAGAAAGUCAGACAGUCAAAACAAUGUCCCAGACUCCGUGAAGUUCCUGGGUAGAGAAGGAGACAGACAUAUACCAUACCUAAUAAUUGGAUGUCCGAGAGAAUGAGAGAAUGGCAGAAAGAACUUUAGAGCAUGGGUAUGAUGGCUAGAGCUUGAGCAGCCAUUGUGGACAUCAGAUGAACUUGAAAGUGAAAACUAUGAGCUGAAUACGACAAAGCAAACAGAUAGAAAACUGGAUUCAUUAUGACAUUGCAAAGCUGCCAGACCAGCUCUAGUCUGCUUCCCCCUAAUCUUCCUUACUAAGAGAGAGAAAUAAACUUCCAUCUUCUU